This 301-nucleotide ribosomal RNA is filed under the name uncultured bacterium. Its description in RNAcentral is "partial 16S ribosomal RNA". It matches the Rfam family "Bacterial small subunit ribosomal RNA", at positions 509 to 807 of the family's 1533-position model. The record is from RNAcentral.
CAGUAGCCACGGUAAUACGUAGGUGGCAAGCGUUGUCCGGAAUUAUUGGGCGUAAAGGGCUCGCAGGCGGUUUCUUAAGUCUGAUGUGAAAGCCCCCGGCUCAACCUGGGAAUGGCAGUGGAUACUGGCAAGCUAGAGUGUGUCAGAGGAUGGUGGAAUUCCCGGUGUAGCGGUGAAAUGCGUAGGGAUCGGGAGGAACAUCAGUGGCGAAGGCGGCCAUCUGGGACAACACUGACGCUGAGGCACGAAAGCGUGGGGAGCAAACAGGAUUAGAUACCCCAGUAGUCCCUGUCUCUUAUAC